CGAGACGACGCUGGCGGCGUUGCCUAAUACAUGCAAGUAGAACGCUGAAGGAGGGAGCUUGCUUCUUCUGGAUGAGUUGCGAACGGGUGAGUAACGCGUAGGUAACCUGCCUGAUAGCGGGGGAUAACUAUUGGAAACGAUAGCUAAUACCGCAUAAGAGGUAAUAACACAUGUUAUUGUUUAAAAGGGGCAACUGCUCCACUAUCAGAUGGACCUGCGUUGUAUUAGCUAGUUGGUAAGGUAACGGCUUACCAAGGCGACGAUACAUAGCCGACCUGAGAGGGUGAUCGGCCACACUGGGACUGAGACACGGCCCAGACUCCUACGGGAGGCAGCAGUAGGGAAUCUUCGGCAAUGGGGGCAACCCUGACCGAGCAACGCCGCGUGAGUGAAGAAGGUUUUCGGAUCGUAAAGCUCUGUUGUAAGAGAAGAACGGAUGUGGGAGUGGAAAAUCCAUGUCGUGACGGUAUCUUACCAGAAAGGGACGGCUAACUACGUG
RNAcentral lists this ribosomal RNA (499 nucleotides) under uncultured bacterium. RNAcentral's name for it is "bacterial SSU rRNA". It matches the Rfam family "Bacterial small subunit ribosomal RNA", at positions 33 to 507 of the family's 1533-position model. The record is from RNAcentral.